GACGAACGCUGGCGGCGUGCCUAAUACAUGCAAGUAGAACGCUGAAGGAGGAGCUUGCUUCUCUGGAUGAGUUGCGAACGGGUGAGUAACGCGUAGGUAACCUGCCUGGUAGCGGGGGAUAACUAUUGGAAACGAUAGCUAAUACCGCAUAAUAGUAGAUGUCGCAUGACAUUUGCUUAAAAGGUGCAAUUGCAUCACUACCAGAUGGACCUGCGUUGUAUUAGCUAGUUGGUGAGGUAACGGCUCACCAAGGCAACGAUACAUAGCCGACCUGAGAGGGUGAUCGGCCACACUGGGACUGAGACACGGCCCAGACUCCUACGGGAGGCAGCAGUAGGGAAUCUUCGGCAAUGGACGGAAGUCUGACCGAGCAACGCCGCGGGAGUGAAGAAGGGUUUCGGAUCGUAAAGCUCGGUUGUAAGAGAAGAACGAGUGUGAGAGUGGAAAGUUCACACUGUGACGGUAUCUGACCAGAAAGGGACGGCUAACUACGUG
RNAcentral lists this ribosomal RNA (495 nucleotides) under uncultured bacterium. Its description in RNAcentral is "partial 16S ribosomal RNA". It matches the Rfam family "Bacterial small subunit ribosomal RNA", at positions 28 to 507 of the family's 1533-position model. The record is from RNAcentral.